RNAcentral lists this ribosomal RNA (486 nucleotides) under uncultured bacterium. Its description in RNAcentral is "bacterial SSU rRNA". It matches the Rfam family "Bacterial small subunit ribosomal RNA", at positions 501 to 987 of the family's 1533-position model. The record is from RNAcentral.
CUACGUGCCAGCAGCCGCGGUAAUACGUAGGGUGCAAGCGUUAAUCGGAAUUACUGGGCGUAAAGAGUGCGCAGGCGGUUUUGCAAGACCGAUGUGAAAUCCCCGGGCUUAACCUGGGAACUGCAUUGGUGACUGCAAGGCUAGAGUGUGUCAGAGGGAGGUGGAAUUCCGCAUGUAGCAGUGAAAUGCGUAGAUAUGCGGAGGAACACCGAUGGCGAAGGCAGCCUCCUGGGAUAACACUGACGCUCAUGCACGAAAGCGUGGGGAGCAAACAGGAUUAGAUACCCUGGUAGUCCACGCCCUAAACGAUGUCUACUAGUUGUCGGGGAUUAAUUUCCUUGGUAACGCAGCUAACGCGUGAAGUAGACCGCCUGGGGAGUACGGUCGCAAGAUUAAAACUCAAAGGAAUUGACGGGGACCCGCACAAGCGGUGGAUGAUGUGGAUUAAUUCGAUGCAACGCGAAAAACCUUACCUACGCUUGACAU